GCCUCUCACAUGCAAUAUCCCAAACAGCCCACACACACUACCAAACACACAAUGUGACAUAUCCAUCCACACACAAUUCCACAAGCAGCCCUCAUACACAGCCCACAUUCAUGUGUAUACAAUAUAAUAGUUCAUAUACGCACAAAUACAAUGAUACAAAGCAAUUACAAUAAAAAUAACAACAAACAGAAUUCGGCAACAUACACACCUGGCACGCUACGGGACAUC
Non-coding RNA from Pelobates cultripes (western spadefoot toad), 228 nucleotides. Lineage: Eukaryota; Metazoa; Chordata; Amphibia; Anura; Pelobatidae. The record is from the annotation of a GenBank genome assembly.